This 497-nucleotide ribosomal RNA is filed under the name uncultured bacterium. RNAcentral's name for it is "partial 16S ribosomal RNA". It matches the Rfam family "Bacterial small subunit ribosomal RNA", at positions 28 to 507 of the family's 1533-position model. The record is from RNAcentral.
GACGAACGCUGGCGGCGUGCCUAAUACAUGCAAGUAGAACGCUGAAGAGAGGAGCUUGCUCUUCUUGGAUGAGUUGCGAACGGGUGAGUAACGCGUAGGUAACCUGCCUGGUAGCGGGGGAUAACUAUUGGAAACGAUAGCUAAUACCGCAUAAAAUUGAUUAUUGCAUGAUAAUUAAUUGAAAGAUGCAACUGCAUCACUACCAGAUGGACCUGCGUUGUAUUAGCUAGUUGGUGAGGUAACGGCCCACCAAGGCGACGAUACAUAGCCGACCGGAGAGGGUGGUCGGCCACACUGGGACUGAGACCCGGCCCAGACUCCUACGGGGAGGAGCAGGAGGGGAUCUUCGGAAAUGGGGGGAACCCUGACCGAGCAACGCCGGGUGGGGGAAGAAGGGUUUCGGAUCGUAAAGCUCGGUUGUAAGAGAAGAACGGGUGGGAGGGUGGAAAGUUCACACUGUGACGGUAUCUUAACAGAAAGGGACGGCUAACUACGUG